CAGGCACUACCCUGAAGAUGAGAUAGAAUAAAGCUUUCCUUCAUUUUGCCCUUGGUCAUGAAGGUSAAGCCUGGCAAAGUGCUGCUGGAUGGAUGGAGUUACUUGAACUACUGUGCUCAGGCUGAAACAACUGCUGAGUUCCACCAGGGGCUGCUGUUGAACUUCUAAAAAAGAUCAUAUUUUGGAGGAGAAG
Long non-coding RNA from Urocitellus parryii (Arctic ground squirrel), 193 nucleotides. RefSeq lists it as uncharacterized. The record is from RefSeq and is a predicted model, not a curated record. Lineage: Eukaryota; Metazoa; Chordata; Mammalia; Rodentia; Sciuridae.